UACAGAGGGGGCAAGCGUUGUUCGGAAUUACUGGGCGUAAAGGGCGCGUAGGCGGCCUUCUAAGUCGAACGUGAAAUCCCCGGGCUCAACCUGGGAACUGCAUUCGAGACUGCAUGGCUAGAGUAUGGGAGAGGGAAGUGGAAUUUCAGGUGUAGCGGUGAAAUGCGUAGAUAUCUGAAGGAACAUCAGUGGCGAAAGCGACUUCCUGGACCAAUACUGACGCUCAUGUGCGAAAGCGUGGGGAGCAAACAGG
RNAcentral lists this ribosomal RNA (253 nucleotides) under uncultured bacterium. RNAcentral describes it as "partial 16S ribosomal RNA". It matches the Rfam family "Bacterial small subunit ribosomal RNA", at positions 524 to 776 of the family's 1533-position model. The record is from RNAcentral.